Molecule: ribosomal RNA, 484 nt
Filed under: uncultured bacterium
Lineage: Bacteria
Description: partial 16S ribosomal RNA
Rfam family: Bacterial small subunit ribosomal RNA
Source: RNAcentral
AUUGAACGCUGGCGGCAGGCCUAACACAUGCAAGUCGAGCAGAUGAAGGGAGCUUGCUCCUGGAUUCAGCGGCGGACGGGUGAGUAAUGCCUAGGAAUCUGCCUGGUAGUGGGGGAUAACGUCCGGAAACGGGCGCUAAUACCGCAUACGUCCUGAGGGAGAAAGUGGGGGAUCUUCGGACCUCACGCUAUCAGAUGAGCCUAGGUCGGAUUAGCUAGUUGGUGGGGUAAAGGCCUACCAAGGCGACGAUCCGUAACUGGUCUGAGAGGAUGAUCAGUCACACUGGAACUGAGACACGGUCCAGACUCCUACGGGAGGCAGCAGUGGGGAAUAUUGGACAAUGGGCGAAAGCCUGAUCCAGGCAUGCCGCGUGUGUGAAGAAGGUCUUCGGAUUGUAAAGCACUUUAAGUUGGGAGGAAGGGCAGUAAGUUAAUACCUUGCUGUUUUGACGUUACCAACAGAAUAAGCACCGGCUAACUUCGUG